This is a long non-coding RNA of Pelobates fuscus (common spadefoot toad), 132 nucleotides long. RefSeq lists it as uncharacterized. NCBI's taxonomy places the organism in Eukaryota, Metazoa, Chordata, Amphibia, Anura, Pelobatidae. The record is from RefSeq and is a predicted model, not a curated record. The transcript has 3 exons.
AUCAGAAGUAAUUUGUGUCUCCCGAUGUCUCCUCUUAAUACAUGCAUUAUUUUUAUCGGUUUCUUGCUGGCUGGAAGUGAAAUCAAACUAGGAUUGGCAAGCAACACAGAAAUCCUGGCCAUCCCCAGUAGA